Molecule: ribosomal RNA, 585 nt
Filed under: uncultured Gammaproteobacteria bacterium
Lineage: Bacteria; Pseudomonadati; Pseudomonadota; Gammaproteobacteria
Description: bacterial SSU rRNA
Rfam family: Bacterial small subunit ribosomal RNA
Source: RNAcentral
CCUACGGGAGGCAGCAGUGGGGAAUAUUGCACAAUGGGCGCAAGCCUGAUGCAGCAAUGCCGCGUGUGUGAAGAAGGCCUGCGGGUUGUAAAGCACUUUUAUUAGGAAAGAAAAACCCGGAGUUAAUACCUCCGGCAUUGACGGUACCUAAAGAAUAAGCACCGGCUAACUCAGUGCCAGCAGCCGCGGUAAUACUGAGGGUGCAAGCGUUAAUCGGAAUUACUGGGCGUAAAGCGAGUGUAGGCGGCUACGUAAGUCGGAUGUGAAAGCCCUGGGCUCAACCUGGGAAUUGCAUUCGAAACUGCGUAGCUAGAGUUUGAUAGAGGUAAGUGGAAUUCCGGGUGUAGCGGUGAAAUGCGUAGAUAUCCGGAGGAACAUCAGUGGCGAAGGCGGCUUACUGGAUCAAAACUGACGCUGAGGCUCGAAAGCGUGGGGAGCAAACAGGAUUAGAUACCCUGGUAGUCCACGCCCUAAACGAUGUCAACUAGACGUUGGGCUCAUUAAGGAGCUUAGUGUCGAAGCUAACGCGUUAAGUUGACCGCCUGGGGAGUACGGCCGCAAGGUUGAAACUCAAAUGAAUGACGG